GACAGAGGAUGCAAGCGUUGUCCGGAAUUACUGGGCGUAAAGAGCUUGUAGGUGGUUUGUCGCGUUGUUCGUGAAAUCUCACGGCUUAACUGUGAGCGUGCGGGCGAUACGGGCAGACUAGAGUACUGCAGGGGAGACUGGAAUUCCUGGUGUAGCGGUGGAAUGCGCAGAUAUCAGGAGGAACACCGGUGGCGAAGGCGGGUCUCUGGGCAGUAACUGACGCUGAGAAGCGAAAGCGUGGGGAGCGAACAGG
Molecule: ribosomal RNA, 253 nt
Filed under: uncultured bacterium
Lineage: Bacteria
Description: partial 16S ribosomal RNA
Rfam family: Bacterial small subunit ribosomal RNA
Source: RNAcentral